GCCGGGCGCGAUGGCUCACGCCUGUAAUCCCAACACUCUGGGAGGCCGAGGCGGGCAGAUCACCUGAGGUCAGGAGUUCAAGACCAGCCUGACCAACAUGGUGAAACCCCGUCUCUA
Papio anubis (olive baboon) is the source of this 117-nucleotide unclassified non-coding RNA. It matches the Rfam family "Metazoan signal recognition particle RNA". From Rfam's summary of the family: The signal recognition particle (SRP) is a universally conserved ribonucleoprotein. It is involved in the co-translational targeting of proteins to membranes. The eukaryotic SRP consists of a 300-nucleotide 7S RNA and six proteins: SRPs 72, 68, 54, 19, 14, and 9. Lineage: Eukaryota; Metazoa; Chordata; Mammalia; Primates; Cercopithecidae. The record is from Ensembl.